Molecule: non-coding RNA, 1566 nt
Organism: Camelina sativa (false flax)
Lineage: Eukaryota; Viridiplantae; Streptophyta; Magnoliopsida; Brassicales; Brassicaceae
Source: RefSeq, a predicted model, not a curated record
CAGUCUCAGGUGUUGGAGAUGAAGUUGAAGUAUGAAUUGGAGUCACUGGAGGAGUAUGAGCCACUGAUGAGCUGGAGCUGGCAAGGUCUUGCAAUGGAGUAUCCGUCCUGACAGGAGAAGGAGAACAGCUAUUGCCAAUAGAAGCAGGAUCAAAGCCUGUCGUACACUCAGUUCUAACCUCCUCUCCCUCAGUGGACACAACCUGAGACCUUGUGUUUGGUAAUGGUGGAAAGUCCUGCGGAUAGCUUUUGUACUAAGCAGUCAUGAGAGGGGUGCAUCGUUGAGCGUUCCCAAUAGACAAAGUAGAGAGGGGAAAGACUGCUUCGUCAAAGAUGACAUGCCUGCUGAUAUAAACACGUCCAGUGGAAGCAUAAUCACGAAGUGUUGGAUAACAGGCACAACCAAACACUCUGAGAGCUGUGUAGUUGGGAGUUCGACCUGUCAAAGCUUCAUAAGGACUGAGAUUCUUAUCCAAGGUCGUGGUUGGUAAGAGAUUGAUCAGGAAAUUUUGCUGUGUAAAAUGCUUCAACCCAAUAUUUUUGAGGAGAUGAGCUGUUGAAUCCCACUUUUCUGCAGAUGAGCCGUAAACUGCUUACUGACAAACUCGCCACCACCAUCACACUGAAAGGUAUCAAUCUUAUUCUGAUAUUGAUUUUCUACAAGCGCUUGAAAACCAUAGAAUAUUUGUAGAAAAUCAGACUUGAGCUUGAGAGGGUAGAACCAGCAAAAUCUUGUAUAGUUGUCAAUAAAGAGCACAUAGUAUUUGAAACCUUGAACUGACAUUAUUGGUGAAGGACCCCAUAGAUCACAAUGAAUUCUUUCCAGGGGUCGAGUAGCUACAAAAGUUGAAGCAGAAAAAGAUAGCUGCUGGAGAACUUGCGUAUGAGGAUGCCCCAAUCGUUUAUGCCAAACAUCUUCCGAAGCCAUUUGUUGUCUUGACGAGAAGUUGACUUGGAGUGAAGCUCUUCCACAUACGCACAUCAUCACAGUCAAAUUGAAAGCCACAAGGAUAAUCGGUAGUAAGCUUUGACACAGAUAACAAACAUUUAGCAAUACCAGGACAAACAAGAACAUCAUUAAGAGGUAAGUUACUAGAGGUUGAGGGAAGACUCGCUGAACCGGUGAUGCGGAGAGUUGGUCACGUGAGAAGUUGCACCAGUAUCUGACACCCAUUCACUUCCAGUUUGAUCAGUAACAUCAGUAAUCCGAAGAGCAGCUAGAGCUUCAGGGAUAUUAUCAAACUGGUAGCUGUUGUCGAAUCAGUGCCAGCACUUAGAGGCAUGAUGACCUGGUUUACCACAAAUUUGGCAAAUCACCUUGUAUCCAGAGGAGGUAGGUGCGACAAUGUUAAACGCCAUAUGUGGAGAAGCCUCUGAACCGGAGCUGUUGUAGCUUCCUAGUCGAUCAGAGAAACUUGUAAGUCGUGAGACCACAUCAUCCAAGGUAAGAGAUGGUUGAGUGUCCAUAGACCCUUCUACUGAAGUCUUGAUAGGUUCAUAUUCUCUACCUAGGCCUUUCAGAGUAGCAAAGAUCUUCAUCUGUUCAUUAACUGGACUACCUAUAGAG